This 907-nucleotide ribosomal RNA is filed under the name Scolecobasidium globale. RNAcentral's name for it is "partial large subunit ribosomal RNA". It matches the Rfam family "Eukaryotic large subunit ribosomal RNA", at positions 38 to 964 of the family's 3401-position model. The record is from RNAcentral. Lineage: Eukaryota; Fungi; Ascomycota; Dothideomycetes; Venturiales; Sympoventuriaceae.
ACAUAUCAAUAAGCGGAGGAAAAGAAACCAACCGGGAUUGCCCCCAGUAACGGCGAGUGAAGCGGCAACAGCUCAAAUUUGAAAUCUGGAGUCCGUUUGGGCUUCCGAGUUGUAAUUUGCAGAGGGAGCCUCGGAGGGCAGGUCGGUCCAAGUGCCUUGGAACAGGAUACCGCAGAGGGUGAGAGUCCCGUAUCCGGCCGGCGGUGCGCUCCGUGUGAGGCCUCUUCGACGAGUCGAGUUGUUUGGGAAUGCAGCUCCAAGCGGGUGGUAAAUUCCAUCUAAAGCUAAAUACUGGCCAGAGACCGAUAGCGAACAAGUAGAGUGAUCGAAAGAUGAAAAGCACUUUGAAAAGAGAGUCAAACAGUACGUGAAAUUGUUGAAAGGGAAGCGCAUGGGGGCAGACUUGGCCGCGGUGUUCAGGGUGUUCUCGCACCUGUACUUCGCUGCGGACAGGCCAGCAUCGGUUCCGGGGGUCGGAGAAAGGCGCUGGGAAGGUGGCAGCCUUCGGGGUGUGUUAUAGCCCGGCGCGCAAUGCGGCCACCUGGGACCGAGGACCGCGCUUCGGCAAGGAUGCUGGCGUAAUGGCCUCAUGCGGCCCGUCUUGAAACACGGACCAAGGAGUCUAACAUCUAUGCGAGUGUUUGGGUGGGAAGCCCGGGCGCGUAAUGAAAGUGAACGGAGGUGGGAGCUCUCGGGCGCACCAUCGACCGAUCCGGACGUUUUCUGAAGGAUUUGAGUAAGAGCAUAGCUGUUGGGACCCGAAAGAUGGUGAACUAUGCGUGAAUAGGGUGAAGCCAGAGGAAACUCUGGUGGAGGCUCGCAGCGGUUCUGACGUGCAAAUCGAUCGUCAAAUUUGCGUAUAGGGGCGAAAGACUAAUCGAACCAUCUAGUAGCUGGUUCCUGCCGA